AUUGUUGAUGACGAAGACGUGAUCUCGUACAUCAUCGCCGGCCUUGACGAAGAGUAUGAUCUAGUGGUGUCGUCCAUAGUGGGACGCGCUGAUCUUGUUACCAUCGGCGAAGCCUACUCACAACUGCUUAGUUUUGAGC
Small nucleolar RNA from Leersia perrieri, 139 nucleotides. It matches the Rfam family "Small nucleolar RNA Z247". From Rfam's summary of the family: Z247 is a member of the C/D class of snoRNA which contain the C (UGAUGA) and D (CUGA) box motifs. Most of the members of the box C/D family function in directing site-specific 2'-O-methylation of substrate RNAs. NCBI's taxonomy places the organism in Eukaryota, Viridiplantae, Streptophyta, Magnoliopsida, Poales, Poaceae. The record is from Rfam.